This 87-nucleotide transfer RNA is filed under the name Opitutia bacterium. RNAcentral's name for it is "tRNA-Leu". It matches the Rfam family "tRNA". Rfam says of the family: Transfer RNA (tRNA) molecules are approximately 80 nucleotides in length. Lineage: Bacteria; Pseudomonadati; Verrucomicrobiota; Opitutia. The record is from RNAcentral.
GCCCGGAUGGCGGAAUUGGUAGACGCGCUGGAUUCAAAAUCCAGUUCCCGCAAGGGAGUGAGGGUUCGACCCCCUCUCCGGGCACCA